This 254-nucleotide ribosomal RNA is filed under the name uncultured bacterium. Its description in RNAcentral is "partial 16S ribosomal RNA". It matches the Rfam family "Bacterial small subunit ribosomal RNA", at positions 524 to 777 of the family's 1533-position model. The record is from RNAcentral.
UACGUAGGGCGCAAGGCGUUAUCCGGAAUUAUUGGGCGUAAAGAGCUCGUAGGCGGUUUGUCGCGUCUGCCGUGAAAGUCCGGGGCUCAACCCCGGGUCUGCCGUGCCGACUGUCAAACUCGAGGGCUGUAGAGGCAGACGGAAUUCCGGGUGUAGCGGUGGAAUGCGUAGAGAUCCGGAGGAAGACCGGUGGCGAAGGCGGUCUGCUGGGCAGUUUCUGACACUGAGGCGCGACACGUGGGGAGCAAACAGGG